CCAAUAGCGUAUAUUAAAGUUGUUGCAGUUAAAAAGCUCGUAGUUGAAUUUCGGGAUCAAUUCGUCGGUCGUGCUUUUUGGUACGUACUGGCGUCAUUGGUUUCUCCCUUCUGACGAACCAUGAUGUCAUUAAUUUGGUGUUAUGGGGAGUUAGGACUGUUACUUUGAAAAAAUUAGAGUGUUUAAGGCAGGCAUUGGCUUGAAUACAUUAGCAUGGAAUAAUGAAAUAGGACGUUCGAGCCUAUUUUGUUGGUUUCUAGGAUCAACGUAAUGAUUAAUAGGGAUAGUUGGGGGCAUUAGUAUUCAAUUGUCAGAGGUGAAAUUCUUGGAUUUAUUGAAGACUAACUACUGCGAAAGCAUUUGCCAAGGAUGUUUUCAUUAAUCAAGAACGAAAGUUAGGGGAUCGAAGACGAUCAGAUACCGUCGUAGUCUUAACCAUAAACUAUGCCGACUAGGGAUCGGAUGAUGUUAAUUUUUUAAUGACUCAUUCGGCGCCUUACG
RNAcentral lists this ribosomal RNA (501 nucleotides) under uncultured Glomeromycotina. RNAcentral's name for it is "partial small subunit ribosomal RNA". It matches the Rfam family "Eukaryotic small subunit ribosomal RNA", at positions 591 to 1092 of the family's 1831-position model. Lineage: Eukaryota; Fungi; Glomeromycota. The record is from RNAcentral.